This 341-nucleotide ribosomal RNA is filed under the name uncultured bacterium. RNAcentral's name for it is "bacterial SSU rRNA". It matches the Rfam family "Bacterial small subunit ribosomal RNA", at positions 137 to 507 of the family's 1533-position model. The record is from RNAcentral.
UGGGGGACAACCGUGGAAACUACGGCUAAUACCGCAUGAUGCCUGAGGGCCAAAGACGAAAGUCGUUUGAGGAGGAGCCUGCGUCUGAUUAGGGUAGUUGGUGGGGUAAAGGCCCUACCCAAGCCUACGAGUCAGUAGCUGGUCUGAGAGGAUGAUCAGCCACAUUGGGACUGAGACACGGCCCAAACUCCUACGGGAGGCAGCAGUGGGGAAUAUUGGACAAUGGGCGCAAGCCUGAUCCAGCAAUGCCGCGUGGGUGAAGAAGGUCUUCGGAUUGUAAAGCCCUUUUGGCGGGGACGAUGAUAACGGUACCCGCAGAAUAAGCUCCGGCUAACUUCGUG